RNAcentral lists this ribosomal RNA (389 nucleotides) under uncultured bacterium. RNAcentral's name for it is "bacterial SSU rRNA". It matches the Rfam family "Bacterial small subunit ribosomal RNA", at positions 29 to 417 of the family's 1533-position model. The record is from RNAcentral.
AUUGAACGCUGGCGGCAUGCCUUACACAUGCAAGUCGAACGGCAGCACGGGAGCAAUCCUGGUGGCGAGUGGCGAACGGGUGAGUAAUACAUCGGAACGUGCCCAGUAGUGGGGGAUAACCCGGCGAAAGCCGGACUAAUACCGCAUACGACCUACGGGUGAAAGCAGGGGAUCGCAAGACCUUGCGCUAUCGGAGCGGCCGAUGUCAGAUUAGCUAGUUGGUGGGGUAAAAGACCCACCAAGGCGACGAUCUGUAGCUGGUCUGAGAGGACGACCAGCCACACUGGGACUGAGACACGGCCCAGACUCCUACGGGAGGCAGCAGUGGGGAAUUUUGGUACAAUGGGCGCAAGCCUGAUCCAGCCAUGCCGCGUGCGGGAAGAAGGCCU